This 896-nucleotide ribosomal RNA is filed under the name uncultured delta proteobacterium. RNAcentral's name for it is "bacterial SSU rRNA". It matches the Rfam family "Bacterial small subunit ribosomal RNA", at positions 28 to 896 of the family's 1533-position model. Lineage: Bacteria; Deltaproteobacteria. The record is from RNAcentral.
AAUGAACGCUGGCGGCGUGCCUAACACAUGCAAGUCGAACGAGAAACUUCCCGCUUGCGGGGAGGAGUAAAGUGGCGCACGGGUGAGUAACGCGUGGGUAACCUGCCCUUGAAUUUGGGAUAACUCCGUGAAAACGGUGCUAAUACCGGAUAUUAUUCCGGGAACUAUGGUUUCCGGGAUGAAAGGUGACCUCUCUAUAGAAGUUGCCGUUCAAGGAGGGGCUCGCGUACCAUUAGCUUGUUGGUGGGGUAAUGGCCUACCAAGGCUACGAUGGUUAGCUGGUCUGAGAGGAUGAUCAGCCACACUGGAACUGAAACACGGUCCAGACUCCUACGGGAGGCAGCAGUGAGGAAUUUUGCGCAAUGGGGGAAACCCUGACGCAGCAACGCCGCGUGAGUGAAGAAGGCUUUCGGGUCGUAAAGCUCUGUCAAGUGGGAAAAAAUGCUUCAGGUAAAUAGCCUGAGGAGCUGAUGGUACCACUAAAGGAAGCACCGGCUAACUCCGUGCCAGCAGCCGCGGUAAUACGGAGGGUGCUAGCGUUGUUCGGAAUUAUUGGGCGUAAAGAGCGUGUAGGCGGCUUGGUAAGUCAGAUGUGAAAGCCCUGGGCUCAACUCAGGAAGUGCAUUUGAAACUACCUUGCUUGAGUAUGGGAGAGGAGAGUGGAAUUCCCAGUGUAGAGGUGAAAUUCGUAGAUAUUGGGAGGAACACCCGUGGCGAAGGCGACUCUCUGGACCAAUACUGACGCUGAGACGCGAAAGCGUGGGGAGCAAACAGGAUUAGAUACCCUGGUAGUCCACGCCGUAGACGAUGAGAACUAGGUGUAGCGGGUAUUGACCCCUGCUGUGCCGCAGCUAACGCAUUAAGUUCUCCGCCUGGGGAGUACGGCCGCAAGGCUA